GACGAACGCUGGCGGUAUGCUUAACACAUGCAAGUCGAACGAGAAGUCUUUUAUUGAACCUUCGGGGGAUAUAAGAGACAGACAGUGGCGAACGGGUGAGUAACGCGUGGGCAACCUACCUAUCGGAGCGGGAUAGCCUCGAGAAAUCGGGAGUAAAACCGCAUAACACGGAUAUAUCGCAUGAUGAAUCCGUCAAAACUCCGGUGCCGAUAGAUGGGCCCGCGUCUGAUUAGCUAGUUGGUAAGGUAAGGGCUUACCAAGGCAACGAUCAGUAGCCGGUCUGAGAGGGCGAACGGCCACACUGGAACUGAGACACGGUCCAGACUCCUACGGGAGGCAGCAGUGGGGAAUAUUGCGCAAUGGGGGCAAACCCUGACGCAGCAAUACCGCGUGAGUGAAAGAAAGGUUUUUCGGAUUCGUAAAAGCUUCUG
This 431-nucleotide ribosomal RNA is filed under the name Pseudoramibacter alactolyticus. RNAcentral describes it as "bacterial SSU rRNA". It matches the Rfam family "Bacterial small subunit ribosomal RNA", at positions 28 to 436 of the family's 1533-position model. Lineage: Bacteria; Bacillati; Bacillota; Clostridia; Eubacteriales; Eubacteriaceae. The record is from RNAcentral.